This 422-nucleotide ribosomal RNA is filed under the name uncultured bacterium. RNAcentral's name for it is "bacterial SSU rRNA". It matches the Rfam family "Bacterial small subunit ribosomal RNA", at positions 355 to 774 of the family's 1533-position model. The record is from RNAcentral.
UGAGGAAUAUAGGACAAUGGGCGCAAGCCUGAUCCAGCCAUGCCGCGUGCAGGAAGAAGCAUCUAUGGUGUGUAAACUGCUUUUGUACGGGAAGAAACACUCCUUCGUGAAGGAGCUUGACGGUACCGUAAGAAUAAGGAUCGGCUAACUCCGUGCCAGCAGCCGCGGUAAUACGGAGGAUCCAAGCGUUAUCCGGAAUCAUUGGGUUUAAAGGGUCCGUAGGCGGUUUAGUAAGUCAGUGGUGAAAGCCCAUCGCUCAACGAUGGAACGGCCAUUGAUACUGCUAGACUUGAAUUACAAGGAAGUAACUAGAAUAUGUAGUGUAGCGGUGAAAUGCUUAGAUAUUACAUGGAAUACCAAUUGCGAAGGCAGGUUACUACUUGUGGAUUGACGCUGAUGGACGAAAGCGUGGGGAGCAAACA